GCGGAGGAAAAGAAACCAACAGGGAUUGCCUCAGUAGCGGCGAGUGAAGCGGCAAAAGCUCAAAUUUGAAAUCUGGCGUCUUUGGCGUCCGAGUUGUAAUUUGAAGAAGGUAUCUUUGGGCCCGGCUCUUGUCUAUGUUCCUUGGAACAGGACGUCACAGAGGGUGAGAAUCCCGUGCGAUGAGAUGACCCGGGUCUGUGUAAAGUUCCUUCGACGAGUCGAGUUGUUUGGGAAUGCAGCUCUAAGUGGGUGGUAAAUUCCAUCUAAAGCUAAAUAUUGGCGAGAGACCGAUAGCGAACAAGUACAGUGAUGGAAAGAUGAAAAGAACUUUGAAAAGAGAGUGAAAAAGUACGUGAAAUUGUUGAAAGGGAAGGGCUUGAGAUCAGACUUGGUAUUUUGCAUGCUGCUCUCUCGGGGGCGGCCGCUGCGGUUUACCGGGCCAGCAUCGGUUUGGAGCGGCAGGAUAAUGGCGGAGGAAUGUGGCACGGCUUCUGCUGUGUGUUAUAGCCUCUGACGAUACUGCCAGCCUAGACCGAGGACUGCGGUUUUUACCUAGGA
RNAcentral lists this ribosomal RNA (558 nucleotides) under Candida albicans. Its description in RNAcentral is "LSU rRNA". It matches the Rfam family "Eukaryotic large subunit ribosomal RNA", at positions 50 to 618 of the family's 3401-position model. The record is from RNAcentral. Lineage: Eukaryota; Fungi; Ascomycota; Pichiomycetes; Serinales; Debaryomycetaceae.